RNAcentral lists this ribosomal RNA (494 nucleotides) under uncultured bacterium. RNAcentral's name for it is "bacterial SSU rRNA". It matches the Rfam family "Bacterial small subunit ribosomal RNA", at positions 29 to 507 of the family's 1533-position model. The record is from RNAcentral.
AUGAACGCUGGCGGCGUAGCCUAAUACAUGCAAGUCGAACGCACAGCGAAGUGCUUGCAUCUUUCAAGUGAGUGGCGAACGGGUGAGUAACACGUGGAUAACCUACUCAAGUUGGGGAUAACAUUUGGAAACAGAUGCUAAUACCGAAUAAAACUUCGUAUCGCAUGAUACAAGGUUAAAAGGCGCUACGGCGUCACCUAGAGAUGGAUCCGCGGUGCAUUAGUUAGUUGGUGGGGUAAAAGGCCUACCAAGACAAUGAUGCAUAGCCGAGUUGAGAGACUGAUCGGCCACAUUGGGACUGAGACACGGCCCAAACUCCUACGGGAGGCUGCAGUAGGGAAUCUUCCACAAUGGGCGAAAGCCUGAUGGAGCAACGCCGCGUGUGUGAUGAAGGCUUUCGGGUCGUAAAGCACUGUUGUAUGGGAAGAACAGCUAGAGUAGGGAAUGACUUUAGUUUGACGGUACCAUACCAGAAAGGGACGGCUAAAUACGUG